This 591-nucleotide long non-coding RNA is filed under the name Linum usitatissimum (flax). RNAcentral describes it as "long non-coding RNA (LUSI_LNC006129)". The record is from RNAcentral. Lineage: Eukaryota; Viridiplantae; Streptophyta; Magnoliopsida; Malpighiales; Linaceae.
AGUGAUUCUUCGAAGUUCGCAAAUGCUACUGCUGCUUACAGCGGCAAGGAACAAUUGAAAGGCGGUAUUUCUAGCAGCGUACCGGGCCCUAGUCAGGACGGAAAUUGGCGGAAGUUAGUCAGUUCCGAGAAGGGACCUAAACUGGAGAGAUCAUCCAGUUUGCUUCCUACAUUUCCACCCGAUCUGAACGACAAACGUCCAGUUGAUACCGAGUUGCUCCCAAGAAGCAGCAGCCUGAAAGAACCGGUUUUCGACGAACUCGAAGGCAUCGUGAGGAUCAAACAAGCGGAAGCUCAAAUGUUCCAAACCCGUGCUGAUGACGCUAGAAGAGACGCAGAAGGUACUGCUGCUUACUGCGGCAAGGAACAAUUGAAAGGCGGUAUUUCUAGCAGCGUACCGGGCCCUAGUCAGGACGGAAAUUGGCGGAAGUUAGUCAGUUCCGAGAAGGGACCUAAACUGGAGAGAUCAUCCAGUUUGCUUCCUACAUUUCCACCCGAUUUGAACGAUAAACGUCCAGUCGACACCGAGUUGCUACCGAGAAGCAGCAGCCUGAAAGAACCGGUUUUCGACGAACUCGAAGGCAUCGUGAGG